Molecule: non-coding RNA, 226 nt
Filed under: Synechococcus sp. Ace-Pa
Lineage: Bacteria; Bacillati; Cyanobacteriota; Cyanophyceae; Synechococcales; Synechococcaceae
Source: RNAcentral
AAAGUUUCUUACGAAGAACGACUAGCCACCGACUUCGGCCUUCGGCGGAGGUGCGACUGCGGUAACAACGUUGUGCUGAGCGUCCGUACCGAGGGAAGCGCAGGCAAGCUAUUGAGCUCCGAAAUCCUCACUUUCGUGUGCCGACCUAGUCCUGACUGGGGGAAGGCAACAUCGCACUGCUCGCGAAAUGGCAAGAGCAAUGUGGACACGGCGGAGUCUGAGAACC